ACACCAACUACUCCUAAAGUUCGAGUGAGGGAAAGACAACUUAGCUAAAACAUCUCUAUUUUUGGAUUUUUCUAAUUUUUCAUUUUUUAGGGUUUUUUAUUUUUUUAGAAUUACACUAAAGCCCUCCCCAUACCUAAAUCAUGCAUUGUCCUCAAUGUAUGCAAAAGAGAGAAUUGAAAUGAGAGAGUAAAGAGGAAAAAUACCUGAAUAGGAG
RNAcentral lists this long non-coding RNA (214 nucleotides) under Daucus carota (carrot). RNAcentral's name for it is "long non-coding RNA (DCAR_LNC006733)". The record is from RNAcentral. Lineage: Eukaryota; Viridiplantae; Streptophyta; Magnoliopsida; Apiales; Apiaceae.